CGAACUCAUAUAUUCAUUGUUGCCGGAAUAUGUAACAGGAUGACGUCAGCUUUUCUGUCAAUGCAGAAGCAUCUCACCCACUUCCACGUAGCAAAUCAGUGGUCAGCACUUUACACCACUUAAUAUCUUUGAAUCCAAACCCCAGCUCCUGAAGGGAAAAAGGAAAAUAUGUGCGAAAGUCUGAGAUGCAUAUUCCCACAUAGCUGUCCAGAACACAGCAGGUAACCGUUUGAAUGAAGGUUCCCAGCCCGAGCUGUCGACUGGUUGCUGAGUUCCUCCAACAUUCUCUGUGUGUUUGCUUCUGUUUGUUUAUUGAUUAAAAUAAUCAGACUGGUUCAGUGGAAGAGGAAUUUGUGGAAUGGUCAGAGACAGUUUCAUACAGUAGUUUAUUUACCCAGGAACAUGCCAUUUCAGUUGUAAUCUGUGUAAAGAGGUGGUAUUACAGAGAGUUCUUGCGGUGAAGGAUCCUGAAUAUGAGCAGUGGCAGAUGUUUAAGGAGAAGGUUCGUUAGAGCCGACAUUUAUCCCGAUCAGACAGAGGAAUCACAGGGAGCAAACAACAGUCUGUGGUUAAAAGAGUUCAAGAAUUUUGUUGAGAAAUCUGUCCGCGACCAAGGCAGUUCAUACUGGAUUGGAAAAUGCAACUAUGGGAGAGUGGCCUCGAAUAUCGUGUUCCAAAUGAAGGCUGGAGUCUUCGAAUGCAUUGAAUGUGGAUGGUACCCUCACUUUGAACAUUGCAGUGAGGAUAAGCGUUGCUUCAUCUGCGAGAAGUCGGCGCUUCUGUGCU
Molecule: long non-coding RNA, 786 nt
Organism: Hypanus sabinus (Atlantic stingray)
Lineage: Eukaryota; Metazoa; Chordata; Chondrichthyes; Myliobatiformes; Dasyatidae
Exons: 5
Source: RefSeq, a predicted model, not a curated record